Molecule: transfer RNA, 72 nt
Filed under: Neoceratodus forsteri (Australian lungfish)
Lineage: Eukaryota; Metazoa; Chordata; Ceratodontiformes; Ceratodontidae
Description: tRNA-Lys
Rfam family: tRNA
About the family: Transfer RNA (tRNA) molecules are approximately 80 nucleotides in length. Their secondary structure includes four short double-helical elements and three loops (D, anti-codon, and T loops).
Source: RNAcentral
CAUUAGGAAGCUAAAUAGGACAAGCGUUAGCCUUUUAAGCUAAAGACUGGUGAUUCCAACCACCCCUAAUGA